GAUGAAGAACGUAGUGAAAUGCGAUAAGUAAUGCGAAUUGCAGAAUUCCGUGAGUCAUCGAAUCUUUGAACGCACAUUGCGCCCUCUGGUAUUCCGGAGGGCAUGCCUGUCUGAGCGUCAUUGUCAACCCUCAAGCUCAGCUUGCUGUUGGGUCCCCGUCGUUGCUUUAACGGCGGACCCGAAAGGUAAUGACAGAGUCCGUGAGACCCUAGACGCAGCGAGCUUCUAGCACGCGUCUGGACGUUUUUCGGGCUCGGUCUUAACUAGAUGAUAACUUCCGAUUGACCUCAGAUCAGGUAGGGAUACCCGCUGAACUUAAGCAUAUCAAUAAGCGGAGGA
This 339-nucleotide unclassified non-coding RNA is filed under the name soil metagenome. RNAcentral describes it as "partial contains 5.8S ribosomal RNA, internal transcribed spacer 2, and large subunit ribosomal RNA". The stretch from base 1 to 120 matches the Rfam family "5.8S ribosomal RNA", at positions 35 to 154 of the family's 154-position model. The record is from RNAcentral.